GAUUUCUGACGAACCGGAGUGGCCCGUUUCCUUUCUGGGAAUGAGUGCCGCUUUGAGUUUGUCAUCCUUCCAGAGAGCUGCGUCUACCGUUUACUCGGCCGGACGUAUGCGAUCUGGAUCUAUUACUUUGAAAAAAUUAGAGUGUUUAAAGCAGGCUUAUGCUAUGAAUACAUUAGCAUGGAAUAAUAAUCUAGGACUUCGGUUCUAUUUUGUUGGUUUCUAUAACUGAAGUAAUGAUUGAUAGGGAUAGUUGGGGGUGCUAGUAUUGGCCGGCCAGAGGUGAAAUUCUUGGAUUCGGUCAAGACUAACUUAUGCGAAAGCAUU
This 324-nucleotide ribosomal RNA is filed under the name Euglypha sp. (in: cercozoans). RNAcentral describes it as "SSU rRNA". The stretch from base 109 to 324 matches the Rfam family "Eukaryotic small subunit ribosomal RNA", at positions 738 to 955 of the family's 1831-position model. Lineage: Eukaryota; Cercozoa; Imbricatea; Euglyphida; Euglyphidae. The record is from RNAcentral.